RNAcentral lists this ribosomal RNA (253 nucleotides) under uncultured bacterium. Its description in RNAcentral is "partial 16S ribosomal RNA". It matches the Rfam family "Bacterial small subunit ribosomal RNA", at positions 524 to 776 of the family's 1533-position model. The record is from RNAcentral.
UACGUAGGGUGCAGGCGUUAAUCGGAAUUACUGGGCGUAAAGCGUGCGCAGGCGGCUCCUUAAGUCAGAUGUGAAAGCCCCGGGCUUAACCUGGGAACUGCGUUUGAAACUGGGGAGCUAGAGUGUAGAGGAGGGGGGUGGAAUUCCAGGUGUAGCAGUGAAAUGCGUAGAGAUCUGGAGGAACACCGAUGGCGAAGGCAGCCCCCUGGGCUAACACUGACGCUCAUGCACGAAAGCGUGGGGAGCAAACAGG